UAAGUGUAUAUUAGAUGUCAUGUGGUCAGAAGCUCCAGAAUCUAUUAUCCAGGAAACAGAAGCAAUAUGAGUAAGCAAGCAGAGUUUGGAAUUAGAGACAGGACUCUCAGUAAGCAUAGUACCAGCAAAGUUGGCAGCACAUAUAGUAGGGGAUGGCUGAGCAUGAGAAGUCUGAGCAGUGGAUUCACCCAAAUUGGACUGUUGGAGCAGAUUCAUCAACUGAUCAUAAUGAUGUCUGCUCAACCUAGGAAUAGCAGAAUUAUGUCCAUCCACAUGCUGGACAGGAGAAUGACCCUCAAUUCCUGAAGCAGGAGAAUCAUGGCCAGCAGAAUAAGGAGAGGAUGUGAAGUCAACACCAGUAGUGACAUGAGCAACAGUGGGUCUCUUGGCUUUGUUAAACCUGAUACUUUGAGGAAAACCAUGAAGCUUGAAGCACUUAUCAAUUAAGUGUCCAGACUUCUUGCAAUAUCUGCAGAAUAGGGGUCCUCUGGACUGAUCAAAAAUAACUCUCUGGGCAUACUGUCUGGGAGUAGGAGAGUUGAGCAAUGGAGCUGGAUUGAAGGAAGGUUUAGUAUUGACAGUGAAGGACAUAGAAUCAGGAUUGAACUGGGAGACAGACUGAACUUGUCUCUAUUUUUCAUCUAACUCUCUGGGCAUACUGUCUGAGAGGAGGAGAGUUGAGAAAGGGAGCUGGAUUGAAGGAAGGUUUAGUAUUGACAGUGAAGGACAUAGAAUCAGGAUUGAAUUGGGAGACAGACUGAACUUGUCUCUGUUUUUCAUCAUUGAGGAGAAUGUUAUAGACAUUGUCA
RNAcentral lists this long non-coding RNA (809 nucleotides) under Nicotiana benthamiana. RNAcentral's name for it is "long non-coding RNA (NBEN_LNC015012)". The record is from RNAcentral. Lineage: Eukaryota; Viridiplantae; Streptophyta; Magnoliopsida; Solanales; Solanaceae.